CUUUUUUUUUUUUUUUUAAUUUAAAAUCAGGAUUUUAGACUUUUCCCCAUUCCUCCCCCAAACUCCAAAUUAGGUUUUAAUUAUUGCACACUACUUCAGUUUCUUUAAUUCCUCUUUGGCAGAUUUUUCUCAGCCCAUGGAAUCUGUGGAAUAUUAAUUUGGCAGACUGUUAGUGCUGUAUGGAAUGAACUCCUGGAGUACUUAAGUUUUAAUGCUUCACUUCCAACAUGGAAAACCAGAAAUUUCUUCAUCUCUGUUGGGUAGUUUGUUUACACAAAAUCUUUCUUGAAAAUUUAAAGCAGAUACUUGAAAUCAAGGUUCAAAGCACAUUGGUUUAUGACUCAAUACCUGUGUAUGGUUCCAGCAAUGGGUAACUGGUCUGAAAACCAGGUUUUUAAAAUUCUUGUAUCCCACCUUGCACUCCCCCUUUGGACCUUCAUUUCCUCUUCCUUCCCUUCAACAGAACAAGAUGCAUUUUUGGCAAAAAAAAAGAGUUUUUUAAGUACCUUUGCUUUUUGUUUGAGAGGAUACCCUGAGAUCGAGGGAAUUCCGUUGUUGCAGCUGGGAUGCCCUGAAAUAGAGGGAAUUCCUGCUGUUGGAGCUGGAAUUUCAUGAGAAUGGGGGAAAUUCCUGUCCUUGGAGCUGGGAUACCCUGAAACGCAGGGAAUUCAUGUCCUUGGAGCUGGGAUUACGUGAGAUUGGGGCAAUUCCUUUCCUUGGAGCUGGAAUUCCAUGAGUCUGGGGGAGCUGUUGGAGCUGGGAGUGGGGGGAAGGUGGCAGCUGUGGCUCUGGAAGCCCAGGUGGAUUCCAGGUGGGAUGUGGGGUUGCCACACAGGUGCAGCAGUACCUGAGGCAUUCCCAGCACUGCUCCAGGUGUUCCCAGGAGGGAGCUGGGCUGGCUCAGGAGGGAGUUGUGGCUCAUGGUUGGACACUGGGACAGUGGCAAUCUGUGCAUGGGACACCAAAAAUUCACCCCACAACCUCAACACUCCACCUCUCCAUCCAAAUGCAGCUCUGGCUCAGUGCAGUGCUCAUGAUCUGCCUGGGACAUCACCAAGGAAUGUUUUUUUCCAGGGAAUGAUUGUAAGAAAUUCCUUCUCCCCCCUCAAAAUCCCACCAUAGGUUCAAUUUCAUCCCCGUGUAUCCCUUCAAUACACAAAAGGAGCUGAGUGACUGGCUCAUAAAGAGGAAUUCCUAUAGGUUUUAUCAGCAUUUGUUAGGAGAGUAAGAACAAAUCUCUUAAUUUUAUUUCAAGCUUUCCUCUUUGGCCAGCUUAGAACAGAUUUGUAGUUCUGUACGUAGGUAGAAAACUAAAGGUAACACCCUAUUUUUAUAAAAACUGUACAGGACAGGCAGGAAGUGUUGGAGACCUUGGAGUAUGGAAUACCAGCCUGCUCAGCUGGGGUGUUAGCAGCUGCCUUUGCUUUUCCUGAGCUGUUUUCCACGAGAAUUCCAGUUGUGACCCACUGUGAGUAUCAUGGAUCAGUUCCCUCACCUGGAUUUCCAGCCCCGGGCAGGAGGAGGAGGCAGAUUUUCCAUCAGAGGGUGGGAAAAUCCCUUGGUUCUCCUCUCCUGAGUCUGCUCUCAGAGUGGGGCUGUUCCUUUUCCCUCUCCCACUGUCAGGUGGGAUGUGCUGCCCUUCCAGCCUUAGGGACAGCCUGGCUGACACACAAACAAGUGGAGCAAAGUUUCCCUGGAACUCAACCCUUCCUUCAUCCAAACUGCUGCUCCAGAUGCCACCCAGGUGAUUUUGCUGGCUGGAUUUUUCCCUUUUCCUGCUCUAGAGCAUUCCCAAAUGGCACCUAGAGUGAUUUUCAACACAGCUUGUAACUUAAAAUUGGUCCUUCUGCUGUUCUGCCAGAUGUAAAUUCACCUCUUUCAGUCCAUUUGUGUCAAGAACUAAAACUGUGAACAUUUAUCUUUAAUAUUGGUGGGUGUUAACUGAAAUAAAGGUUUAUUUUCAUGCUCUUUUAAAAACAAUGUCCUGAAAACCACGUGGAAAUGAAACCACUGAGGUUCACAGUGGCUCAUCUAGGGUCUGUCCCAGGAAGUCCAGCGUGCAUUCCCACUCUCAGGAUGGAUUUUGCAUCUCCCAAGUAGGUUAUUUAUGAUUAAUGAACUUGCUUUUAGUAACAUUUGCUAUCCUCUUGCUGUCACACCAAAUCUAGGGGAGUGCAACUUUUAAAUUCUGGUCCUUUGGAAAAGAGAGCAGAGAAAGUUGGAGGCGUGGAGCAGAUUGGCCUUGGAAUGAGCAAGGGCAAGGUUUGAGCAGGGGAGUUUUCUCAGAGCUGGAACGGUGAGGGGGAGCAGGGGGGAUUGAUUGAUCAGUUCCAAGAGUUAGCUGUGUGGGGAAGGACAUGGAUACUCCUGGAAUGUCAGGAAUCAGUGGGAAUGUGUGGUGGUAAUAGUUGGAGGAGCUGAGCCCACCCUCACCUGUAACUGUGCCCAUGGGGAUGGCUUUGCAAAGAGCUCUGGUUUAAUAAAGCCAGCACUGACAGCCAGCUGUGCCUCUUCCAGCUGUGCCUCUUCCAGCUGUGCCAGCCUGCUGAUUCCCAAAGUCAUUCCAAGGACCAAACUCCCUGCCUUGGGCACGCUGGGCUGCUCUGCCUCAGCCAGGUUCCAUGUUCAGGGUGUUCCCAGGACAGCCAAACCUGGUAUUCCUGCUGGAAAGGGUGUCCUGAGGGGGAAUCCCCUCCUGGGAUGCUCAGGGACACCACUGGGAGACUUCCAGGCUGGAGUCCUUGUCUCUUGGGGUAAGGCUGGACAAUGAAUCCCCACAUUUUGAUAGAUUUGGAGAUUUGUGGAGUGAGGACAAAAUGAAUUCCAGUGUUCUCUUAUCCUUAUGUUGAGCUAGAAGAUCAGCAUGCAGAAAAAGAUGAAUGGCAGAACAGUGCUUUUGUGAGAAAACCAUUUUUUGGCAUCUAAUCUGCCUUUCUGGAGGGGGCUGAGUUGUGGCCCCCAGGCAGGGUGUGGAGAGCAGGCAGCAAGUUCUGGUUUUUUGGAUGUCUGACCCAGUUCUGAGGGAGAUGUUUUCCUUUGAUGUCACCCAGCCAGGUGACACAGGUGGGACCAGACCUCAGAGGCCCAAAGUGCAGUGGCUGAGCUGAUAUUUGGCAAUAUCCAAAUCUGCACUUGAGUGGUGGCAGCAGCAGCUCGUGCCCCCGCUUGGGGAUGCAGAGGAUGCUCCAGGUAAGUCCAUACCUGGACUAUUCCAUCUCUAACUGCAAUGUUGCAGCUUUAUUUUUAAUAUUUAAUUGUUCUCUGUAAAGCUGGAACUUGACCAGAGAAAACAACAGGAAGCCAAGUUCAGAUUUCCAACAUUUUAUUUAUAUACACACAUCUGGUAAACAAAGUCAUUAAAUGUGUAACACCCUUGCAGCCUGUAAUUAGAACACUCCAAUAAAUCACUGAAAUUCCUCUUGACAA
This 3426-nucleotide long non-coding RNA is filed under the name Taeniopygia guttata (zebra finch). RNAcentral describes it as "lncRNA (ENSTGUG00000027260.1)". The record is from RNAcentral. Lineage: Eukaryota; Metazoa; Chordata; Aves; Passeriformes; Estrildidae.